Molecule: ribosomal RNA, 301 nt
Filed under: uncultured bacterium
Lineage: Bacteria
Description: partial 16S ribosomal RNA
Rfam family: Bacterial small subunit ribosomal RNA
Source: RNAcentral
CAGCAGCCACGGAAAUACGGAGGGCGCGAGCGUUACCCGGAUUUACUGGGCGUAAAGGGCGUGUAGGCGGCCUGGGGCGUCCCAUGUGAAAGGCCACGGCUCAACCGUGGAGGAGCGUGGGAUACGCUCAGGCUAGAGGGUGGGAGAGGGUGGUGGAAUUCCCGGAGUAGCGGUGAAAUGCGCAGAUACCGGGAGGAACGCCGAUGGCGAAGGCAGCCACCUGGUCCACUUCUGACGCUGAGGCGCGAAAGCGUGGGGAGCAAACCGGAUUAGAUACCCCGGUAGUCCCUGUCUCUUAUAC